CUGCCAUAGUGGAAGUUUCUCAAGAGGCUUGGCCUCUGCAGGAGGCUUCUGCCUGGAAACAGUGGGCGGUGGUGUGGGUGCAGGAUCUUCUUGAUGCUGAUCUCCUGAUAGUGAGAUCUCAUGUGAUCUGGUUGUCUAACAGGGUAUGGUACCUCUUUCCUCUCUGUGUCUUGCUCCUACCCCUGCCAGAUGAAACAUCUCAUUGACACUUGGCCUUCUGGUAUGAUUAGGAAGGGCCUGGUCAGUGAACUAGUCAGUUGGGACUUGGUCAAUGAGGCCUAUUUACUGGGGGAAUGGUCAGCCAGGGUCUGCUUAGAGAGGGUCUCAUUAGAGGGAUCGAGUAGUGCAGGUCUUGUUGAGUGGGGACCUAGUGGCAGACAAAUGUUUGGUGUCUGGUCAGUGCAAACCUGGGCUGCAGGGCUUGGUGAGUGGAGACCUGGUCAGCUGUGGCUUAGUGGUAGCCUUGUCAGAAUGGGCUGGGUCACUGGUGACCCGGUCAAGGGGUGCUAUUCAGUGGAGGCCUGGUCACAUGGGACCUAGUCAGCAGGGCAUGUCCUCAUCAGUGAGGCCCUUGUCAGUGGGACCCUGGUCACGGCAGCCUGAUCAGGUCAGUGGAACCUAAUCAGUGGGGGCCUGGUCAGAGAGGACUUGAUCAGUGGUGGCUUUUGUGGCACUGGUCUAUGGGGUGACCUGGUCAACGGGGUCUGAGCGGUACAUGCCUGUUCAGUGGUGCCUAGUCACUAGGUUCCUGGUCAGGGGCAUCUGGUCACCGCAGGCCUGGUUAGUAGGGGCCUGGUCACUGGCAGCCUGUUCCCUGGAGACCUGGUCAGUGGGGCUUCAUCUGUGGGGCCAGGCAAUGGGGUCAUGAUUGAUGGAAUGUGGUCAGGGAGGCCUUGUCAGUAAGGCCCUGGUCAGUGAGGCCUUGUCAGGGAGGUCUUGUCAGUGAGGCCCUGGUCAGUGAGGCCUUGUCAGUGAGAUCCUUGUCAGUGGGGUCCUGGACACUGUCGGCCUGGCAGCGGGAAUCUAGUUAGUGGGGCCUGGUGAUGGGGGCCUAAUCAGUGAGGGUGUGGUCAGGGAGGACCUGAUGUGCGGGAUCUGGUCAGCAGGGACCUGGUCAGUGGGGCUGCUGAGCACUGCUGGGAGGUGUCAGGGGAAAUGCCUGUUGUCAGGGGAAAUGCAUGUUAUCAGGGGCCCUGUGGACAGCUGGGAUGGCCCAGUGGUGUCCAAUGGCCCAGUCAAAAGUGGACAAAGCAGGUGUUUGGAUGGACCUGGGAGAUCUUGCUCAGAGAUUCUGAAAGAACAAAGGUAAAGGACGGGCCAGAGUGGCUAGAGAGAUGGUCACAGUCUAUGGGCUGCACAGGAUGGAGGAAGCCAGGGAACAGGCAGGGUGGGCAGCAGGGGUGCAGGGAGAGGCAGGUGCAUGCUGGGAGGUCGGACCCUGUGAGGGCUGUGGGGGCGUCAGGUGGGGUGGGCUCCAGGUGAACUCUCAGUGCACUGGGCAGGUCUCGGUCCAGGCUCUCUGGACCCUGGUCGGGUGAUGUGGUCACUCCCUGGGGGACUGCUGUCAGGCCCAGCCACCCACCCUUGGCAGCAGUGUCCCAUCUCUGGACUGGACUUUCUCAGAUCCUGCAGAGGGCACAGCCUUCAGCCCAGAAGGGGCAGCCCCUUGGUGCAGCCCAAGCUCUCCAUGGGCCUGGAGCAUCCCUGCCAGCCCUGCGCUCCGUCUACUCCCACGUCCCGCUUUUCAAGUGUCAGCCAGCAGAGAGGCUCCAUCCUCCCUUCCCUAUGUGUCUCCUGGGCUGAAACUUGGGGUGCAUUGGGACAGGGAUGGUGCUUUCCUCAGGCCCAUUUAGGGAGGGGACUGGCUCCCAGCCUGGCACAGGUCCUCAGCUCUGCCUUGGUUGCCUUAGAGUGACAUGGAUCAGUCAGUGCCCUGAAGGUAAAUGGAAGAGACUGUCCCUGCUGUGUGGGAGGCUGGUCUAGGGAUGGAGGACUUGGCAGGUCCUCCCAGUCUGUCAGGCCUGGACAGCACUGUCCUGUCUCAGGACUCAGAAAGUCCGGUCCUGGGAUGGGAUGGUGCUGCCCAGGGUGGGUGGCCAGGGCUUGACAGCAGUCCCCCAGGGAGUGACCACAUCAGCCAACCAGGGUCCAGGGAGCCUGGCCUGAGACACCCACCCAGUGCAUUGAGGGUGCACCUGGAGCCCACCCCACCUGAUGCCCCCACAGCCCUCGCAGGGUCUGACCUCCCAGCAUGCACCUGCCUCUCCCUGCACCCCAGAUGUCCACCCUGCCUUUUCCCUGACUUCCUCCAUCCUGUCCAGCAGGAUGGGCUGGUCAGUGGGACAGCCUCUGUGCACAUUUUGUGGCAAGUAGGAGUGACACAUCAUUCCUGGGAGGCCCCAUGGUUCCUGCCAAACCCAACCCCAGAAUUCUCCCUGAGGUGGUUUUACCAAACCCAUAACCCAGAACUGCUAUUGUGGUUUGGGGGUCAGCACCCACCAGUGCCAGGGCACUACUGGGAGGCUGGGACCUGACCAAAGCCCAUGGUGUCUGUGGCCUGAGGACAGGGUGUCUUGGGGCCAUGAGGACAGGCCACCAAUGGCCGUUGGGUCAUAGGGCCUGAGCCCCAGUGUUUGUCCUUCCCUGGCUCCUUCUGGUUCAGUCCCAUCAGGGCUCUGGAUCCCAAGACGCAGCAUCCAAGGUUCCCUCCAGGAAUCCUGGUGGCUUGGCUUACUUUGUCAUGUUUCAUCUGAUAGCAAAAAUAUCAGAUCGGCUGCACAGAAAAAAUGGCUCAAAGUGCUUAAUGACCAGAAGAAAUCUAGGAGCAGCAAGAAGGUAAUGUGGAGAGGGGAGGACCUCCAUGACCGGUGUCUAUAGAGCCAGGGGUACAGGCACCCAGUGCAGUGACCUGGUACCACCUGCCUCUCAGAGGGUGGGGAGCACACCGUCCUUACCUGGGGGACAGCAGGCCUGGUCACCAGCUUUUCUCCCUGUCCCUGCAAGCAUCACAUUGCUGGAAGAGAAUCUCAUUUCAGAGCUUGGACCAUCCCUAGCUUGGGGGUUAGGGGUUGUCUCUUGGUGACCUAAAUGAAAAAAUAGGUCCAGAUCAGAGUUCCUGAUGCAUAGCACUCACCCACUCUUUGAAUCAUGGGAGGGGAGGCCUAGUCCUAGGUAAACCUAAACUCUUUGAGGAACCACAGAGCCCAAGGCUGGAAACCUCCAGAAUCCUCCAGCCCCCGAUCCUCCCCGGGGACCGCUGUGGCCUGUCUCACCAGAGCACUCUUCUGUCUGUAGAUGCCUCAGCUGCUCUACAAGGGAGUCCCAUUUCAGGUGUGGGGCUGGGUAUGGUCAUUCCUGCUGGAUGUCUAGAAGGUGAAAAACAAGGACCUAGGAAAAUACCAGAUACAGCAUUUCCACCGUCAUCCAGAGCAGGACAAACACGCCAGGUGGUGUCAGGAGCCUAGGUCUCCAGCUGGAGGGAACGUCAACCCUGCAGUGGGAGCCCAUCAUGCAUCCUAGGCACAGAUGCUAAUGUAGGCACCGCAGCCAUUUUGCACACCCUGGUCAGAAUGAAACAUUCCUUGGGAACUUGGGCCAUGAGAAGCAUCCUUCCUGAUCACCUGACUGUAGAAACAUCCUUAUCGCACCCUCCCGGGCAAAGGCCCAACAGCCUGACUGCAGGAACAUCCUUGCCAUAUCCUGCUGGGCAGCAAGCUCUACCGCCCAGACCCCUCCUUCCCAGUCCCAUGAUCACCCCAGCCUGUGAGAGGCAGUUGGUGCUGGCAGUAAGCUGGUUUCCUCCUCUGCAGGGUUUUGCUAGUAAUAAAGGUGUUGCUGUUGAAGCCGC
RNAcentral lists this long non-coding RNA (3847 nucleotides) under Pan troglodytes (chimpanzee). RNAcentral describes it as "lincRNA". The record is from RNAcentral. Lineage: Eukaryota; Metazoa; Chordata; Mammalia; Primates; Hominidae.